UACGAAUGAACCACUCAAACUGGAACUGUGGAACAUCAUAGCCAUGUAAGAGCUCCUUUCCCCAAAUUUGAAGGCUGGGUCUGGUGUACACUUCGUGGUCCCAUAUAUCCCACAAUUCAUAGCGCGGCGGUGGGUGUGGAUGUUUUUGUUGGGAAAAAACGACGGAUGCCUGAAGCAGGGCGGCCAAAGAGUAAACUUUUGAAAGUACUGAAUAUUAUGUCACUUAUUUAUGUGCAAAUGUUUAAUAACGAGGAACAUUAAAGCAUUACUGUUGGCCACAUGUCGGCAAAGUUAUGUGACAUUAGCGAUGUUUGUACUAACUUGGUUUUAAAGCCUUUACUUUAAAAUAUACGCCGUUCAAUAGUUGACUUUAAUCUUACAGAGAAUGUGAUGUUUUAUGGAUAAUUAACGUCAGUCAUAUAUCCACAAACACAACAAGCUGAAAGUCAGUGAUGCUGCUCGGUUUGCAGUCCUGAAUAUCACGGCACAAGCAGGAUCCACUGCACUGUUAAUGUGAGCUAUGUUAUAGAGAUUGAAAAUGUGACGUCAUUCAGGGGCAAAACAGCAAAGGAUUCUGGGAACGAGAGGCAAGCGGUACUAGCGCACGCAGGCUUUCACAUGAAAACAGUCACACAGCGAUAAAAAAGAAACACAAAAAUGUCAAGAAGCUGUUGUAUUAUUAACUGCAGUAGCCGGUCGCAUGACAGCCACGGGAAGCCGACGGGUAAAGAGAUCGGUUGUUAUCGGAUUACGUCGUUGAAGAGAAAUUGUUCGAGCCAUGUUUCCGAAGUAACAAAGAGGCGACGGAUGGCCUGGAUUGCAGCCAUUCAAAGACCAAAUAUAACAUCCCAGAACACUCCAGCUAACAUCAUAGUCUGCUCCAAGCAUUUCCACAAAGAAAAACAGCCUACACAAUGCUGGAAUGCAAUCCAGACUGUGCCCCCUCUAUCAGCCUGGGUCAGACCGAGUUUAAAGAUGUGAGUGAAGUUGGCUCCCCACCUUCUUCAAAUCCAACAAAAGUGGUAUCAAACGUUUGUGCUGGUUUGUGCUGCAGAAAUUUUUGUUUGUGCUGCUAUCAUUUUAAAGAUAUUAAUAAAAAUUUCUAGAGGUCAUCAGAGGUCAACCAGCCCCCCCACA
Astatotilapia calliptera (eastern happy) is the source of this 1137-nucleotide long non-coding RNA. The record is from Ensembl. Lineage: Eukaryota; Metazoa; Chordata; Actinopteri; Cichliformes; Cichlidae.